AUAAGUUUUAGAGCAAAAAUUGAUAUAAGACCCUGCCUUCUUUCCAGGGAAACAGGGUAUAGGUUAGAGUAUGCAAAUAAGAAGAAUUAAACCAAUGCUCAGUUUCCUCUUCAGCCAGCAGGGAUUUAAAAUUGGGACAGGAGAAGAACAGAGUCUGGAGACUGCUAGAAACAGGGAAGAAGGACAAUGAAGAUAACAGCUGAGUUGAAGAGGCUAAAUUCUGUCUUCCUUCGAGUAGGAAGAGACCCAUCAAAUAAUACUUCCUCUAAUCAGACCUGGAUUUAUUUUCCUCUUUUCAGAUUGCUUCAGAUGCUUAGAGGAUUUCUUUGGCUGUGACUUCUGACAGCACCUGAACUGCUAUUUCUGGAGGGCACAGGUAAAGAAUGACCAGGAGAAGACAACAUUUCACACCAGACAUCCUUGCCUUGGGAAAACUCUUUUGAGUAGUCUUCCUCACAUAAUGACACCCCACUUAUUUAUUUGUGGUGAUAUUCCUAGAGAAAAACUGUGUCCCACUUGUAUCAAUGCUAUUUAGGUAUCUUAGUGUAGAAGAUAAUGUUAACAAUGAAAUUAAGUAUAUUAUGGCCAAACUAGAAUGUGCUGGGGCUUGCAAAAACACAGGAAUUCUGUCUAAAUCCUACUCCUUUUGGUGAUGUUGAGCUUCUUCUUCUUCCAGGCUGAUAAGACUGUUAAUUAGAUUUGUAUGUUAGAAUAUCUCCAAAGUAAAUUCCAUUCUUCCCAUAAAAUGUCAUUCUUCAUCUCAAGGCAAAGUCUUAGAGCUUGGAAUAACCUACCCAGAACAUUGGACCUCUACCUUGGUGCAAUGAAUCUUUUUUUUCUAACAAUAUCAAGACAUAUGAUCUACUAAUCAUCUUUUAAAUAGGUAAAAAAUGGCACAUUAAAGUUACAUAAAUCAC
Molecule: long non-coding RNA, 917 nt
Organism: Columba livia (rock pigeon)
Lineage: Eukaryota; Metazoa; Chordata; Aves; Columbiformes; Columbidae
Exons: 4
Source: RefSeq, a predicted model, not a curated record